CUUGUACACACCGCCCGUCACACCAUGGGAGUUGGUUGCACCAGAAGUAGGUAGCCUAACCGCAAGGAGGGCGAUUACCACGGCAGGGUUCGUGACUGGGGUG
This 103-nucleotide ribosomal RNA is filed under the name uncultured bacterium. RNAcentral describes it as "partial 16S ribosomal RNA". It matches the Rfam family "Bacterial small subunit ribosomal RNA", at positions 1380 to 1482 of the family's 1533-position model. The record is from RNAcentral.